Molecule: transfer RNA, 73 nt
Filed under: gamma proteobacterium HTCC2207
Lineage: Bacteria; Pseudomonadati; Pseudomonadota; Gammaproteobacteria; Cellvibrionales; Porticoccaceae
Also listed under: 1 other name
Description: tRNA-Arg
Rfam family: tRNA
About the family: Transfer RNA (tRNA) molecules are approximately 80 nucleotides in length. Their secondary structure includes four short double-helical elements and three loops (D, anti-codon, and T loops). Further hydrogen bonds mediate the characteristic L-shaped molecular structure. tRNAs have two regions of fundamental functional importance: the anti-codon, which is responsible for specific mRNA codon recognition, and the 3' end, to which the tRNAs corresponding amino acid is attached (by aminoacyl-tRNA synthetases). tRNAs cope with the degeneracy of the genetic code in two manners: having more than one tRNA (with a specific anti-codon) for a particular amino acid; and 'wobble' base-pairing, i.e. permitting non-standard base-pairing at the 3rd anti-codon position.
Source: RNAcentral
CUCCCCUUGGUGAAAUUGGAUAUCACGCUAGCCUCCUAAGCUUGAAUUUCAGGUUCGACUCCUGAAGGGGAGA